This 253-nucleotide ribosomal RNA is filed under the name uncultured bacterium. RNAcentral describes it as "partial 16S ribosomal RNA". It matches the Rfam family "Bacterial small subunit ribosomal RNA", at positions 524 to 776 of the family's 1533-position model. The record is from RNAcentral.
UACAGAGGUCUCAAGCGUUGUUCGGAUUCAUUGGGCGUAAAGGGUGCGUAGGUGGCGGGGUAAGUCAGGUGUGAAAUCUCGAGGCUCAACCUCGAAACUGCACUUGAUACUGCCUUGCUCGAGUACUGGAGAGGAGAUUGGAAUUUACGGUGUAGCAGUGAAAUGCGUAGAUAUCGGGAGGAACACCUGUGGCGAAAGCGGCUCACUGGACCACAACUGACGCUGAGGCGCGAAAGCUAGGGGAGCAAACAGG